RNAcentral lists this ribosomal RNA (497 nucleotides) under uncultured bacterium. RNAcentral describes it as "partial 16S ribosomal RNA". It matches the Rfam family "Bacterial small subunit ribosomal RNA", at positions 28 to 507 of the family's 1533-position model. The record is from RNAcentral.
GACGAACGCUGGCGGCGUGCCUAACACAUGCAAGUCGAGCGAACAGACGAGGCGUUUGUUCCUUUGACGUUAGGGGCGCGCGGGUGAGUCACAUGUGGAUAAUCCACUUAUCAGACUGGUAUCAUUUCGGGAAACCGGCUCUUAUACCGGAUAAUAUAUUGCACCGUAUGGUUCAAUAGUGAAAGUCGGCUUUGCUGUCUCGUAUAGCUGGAUCUGGGCCGGAUUAGCUUGUUGGUAAGGUAACGGCUUAUCACGGGGAGGAGGCGUAGACGAAGUGGGGGGGGGAUAGGCGACACUGGAGGUGAGACACGGUCCAGACUCCUACGGGAGGCAGCAGUAGGGAAUCGUACGCAACGGGCGAAAGCUUGACGGAGCAAGGGCGCGUGAGUGAUGAAGGUCUUCGGAUCGUGAAGCUCUGUUAUGGGGGAAGAACAAAUGUGUAAGUAGAUGUGCACGUAUUGACGGUACCUAAUCAGAAAGCCACGGCUAACUACGUG